RNAcentral lists this long non-coding RNA (1838 nucleotides) under Nicotiana benthamiana. Its description in RNAcentral is "long non-coding RNA (NBEN_LNC002788)". The record is from RNAcentral. Lineage: Eukaryota; Viridiplantae; Streptophyta; Magnoliopsida; Solanales; Solanaceae.
UGGAGGUCUAGUAUCAGGGUGGUAGGAUAGGGGCUCCUAGAAUUUUUCGUACUCCUUUUCCGAGGCUGGGGGGCUUGGCAGGGCUAUCCAUAUAUGAUUCAUGUAUUGAUUGUGUCCCCCUUAUGGUAGUUAUUUAUGGUAGUUACUGUUUGAUAUUAUUUAUGGUAAUUACUGUUUAAUAUUAUUGCAUGUCAUUUUAUUUAGAUAGUUAUUUAUGCGAUUUCAGCUGGAGAUACUAAUGAUCUCUUGUUUUUGUUUUUGUUUUUCCUUUCCUGAGCCGAGUGUCGAUUGGAAACAAUCUCUCUGCCCUUCCGUAUAUGGGUAUGACCUGUCUACAUAUUACUUUCCACAUACUCCACUUUGUGGGACUAUACUGGAUAGUUGUUGUUGUUUGUAAAGGGGCGACAAAAUUAACCCAAACUCAUUUGACCUGUCUAACUCGCCCAAGUUUUAAUGGGUUUGGGCUAGAACGAUUUUGAAAAUAGAUUGUUUUGGGACAGCCCAAGUUAACACAUAAAAAAGAGAUUUUUUCUUUUCUAUAUCAUAUAUGAAACCUUAUUACCAAAAAUGUGAGUUUCUAAGUUACUCGCCCUGUCCACAUUUUUCUUCAUUUAUUAUACCAAUCAUUAAAUACUCAUUAAUAGUAGUUGAAUCUUCCUUAUUUGUCGAGCUAAAAUUAAGGAACAUAAUAUUCUAUAAAGAUUUAGCGUAAAUAAGAUCAAAUCAUAUCACGAAUAUCCUUUAUCUUCAAUUUUUAAUUAAAUUCCAUUCUUCGAUAACCUCAGAAUCGCUACAAUUCAAAAUCUCUGUUCGUCGAAAUCAAAAUCUCAAUUUCAAAUUAUAGAAAUAAGUUCUGCAAAUCUCAGUUCUUUGUCCUUUUUUUUUCUUAAUCCAAAAUAUCAAAAAAUCUACCAAAAAUUUAGCAAUACAUCAGCAACGACAUGCAAUCAUGUCCAAAAUCCCAUUCAUGCUAUAUUUUAAUGGCAAUUGGGAUAGCUAUCGCACAUCUAGAGAUUUUCAAGUUGAUGGCAUUAUGCUCGAUGAGGAUGCAAGUUACAAUAUGUUGAUUUCUACAAUUGUGAAGCAAUUAAUAAUUGAUACUUCAGAAAAAAAUUUAGAAAUCAAAUACGUUGUGAAUGAGAAUGUCCUCCAAUGGAGAUUAGGAACAAUAUGGGGGUUAGUCUGUAUAUGGAAACAAAAAAGGAGAAUAAAAACUUAGGAUUGUAUCCGUUAAUCAUAAGUAUACGAGAUUUCAAUAUAGAAUUGGCUAUUACAAAAUGAGAACACAAGUGCAUGUUUGUUAUGUUUCAAAUUCUAUGAAAUUCUGGUUUUAAGAUAAUAUUUACAAAAUUCCUAUAUUUAUCUACAAAUAAAUUAUAAAUCAGCUUUAGGAUAUAUAAAGCGAUAUUGUUUUCACGCUUAUCAAUAAAAUUACUACAUUUAUACUACAAUUAAGCUACAAUCCAUGUUAAAAAAAUUAACUACAAAAUUUUCUAUUCAUCUAUAAUUUAUCUACAAAGAGCUUUGAAGCUCAUUUUCCAGCAUUCCUUUUCAAUUCUUCCAAUCGAUUUUGGCAACUUUCAGCUAUACAAAGUUAGGUGAUUUACCGGGUCAACAUUCAUCUUGAUUCUAUAAAAUUGUAAUGACAUUGUUUAUCUUUAUUUUCAUGCAGGUUCUUCUGGGACAAUAUAGUUACUUGAUAUGCGAGUCUCUCUCAUCACAGAGGAAUAUCGAAGUAAAAUUAUAACCGAAGCUACACAAAGUAUUAUCGAAGAAGGACAAGUGUAUCAAGACAAGCAAACAAUUGCAACUGCAAUGAGGAACUAUUCUGUCAUGCA